RNAcentral lists this ribosomal RNA (525 nucleotides) under uncultured bacterium. RNAcentral's name for it is "bacterial SSU rRNA". It matches the Rfam family "Bacterial small subunit ribosomal RNA", at positions 984 to 1509 of the family's 1533-position model. The record is from RNAcentral.
ACAUCCAGAGAACUUAGCAGAGAUGCUUUGGUGCCUUCGGGAACUCUGAGACAGGUGCUGCAUGGCUGUCGUCAGCUCGUGUUGUGAAAUGUUGGGUUAAGUCCCGNAACGAGCGCAACCCUUAUCCUUUGUUGCCAGCGGCUCGGCCGGGAACUCAAAGGAGACUGCCGGUGAUAAACCGGAGGAAGGUGGGGAUGACGUCAAGUCAUCAUGGCCCUUACGGCCAGGGCUACACACGUGCUACAAUGGCGCAUACAAAGAGAAGCGACCUCGCGAGAGCAAGCGGACCUCAUAAAGUGCGUCGUAGUCCGGAUUGGAGUCUGCAACUCGACUCCAUGAAGUCGGAAUCGCUAGUAAUCGUAGAUCAGAAUGCUACGGUGAAUACGUUCCCGGGCCUUGUACACACCGCCCGUCACACCAUGGGGGUGGGUUGCAAAAGAAGUAGGUAGCUUAACCUUCGGGAGGGCGCUUACCACUUUGUGAUUCAUGACUGGGGUGAAGUCGUAACAAGGUAAGCGUAGCGAG